CAAUAAUUUCCACUGAGGUUUGAUUUCAAAUAUUAUCCUAAUUAAUUUAUUCCACUAACUUAUUAGACUUUAGUGCCCCAACAAAAGCAAAGUGGUCUACAUUUACCUUUUUUUUCAUUUGAAUAAUAUUAAUAAUUAUGCUUUCUUUUUAAUUAUUAUUAGUGCAAAAAAUUAAUAAAACUGUCAACUUCAAGUUUUGUUGUCAACAAAAGCUUCCUCCUUAGGGAAUUUAUUUCUUCUUGCAUUAUACAUAGGAAACAAUAGUUUUGUGAAAGUACAUGUAGAAAAAUACCAACAUGGAUUUCAUGUUUCUCAAGAAAUUCACACUCUUCUUCCUCCUUAUUUCUGGCUCAAUCUUAGCAACUUCUUUUGCUGGUUAGUCUUUUCUUAAUUAUAGUGUUUCAUAUAUAUUAUAUUAAAUUUAUACUAUGUUGUUGGGCUUAGUUUAACAUAUGUAAAUUAAAUUACUAAUUUAUAUUUGAUUCCAUGAUUUUGGUUCAUAAGCCAUGUGAUCAACUUGGUAACUUUAAUCUUUGAAAUUGAUUUUUUUUUUUUGCAUAAUGUUCAAUUAUAUAUAUUAGAUGAAAGAAAAAGUUAUCACCUAUGUGUUCUUAUUGCAUGUGCAGGUCGAGCAUCUAAUUUCACUUUCAGUAGAAAAAAAUCAGUUUCAAUUGUUGGUUAAGCGUUCCUUAAAAUUCUCCAUAAGGUUCUCGUAACCUUCCUUAUUUUCAUUUACUAUUUAUUUUCUUUUGCUUCUCCUUGUUUCUCUCUUCUUUGACCAACAAUCGCUUCAAUGGUAUAACAAUUUCAAUUGAUUGAAACGUGGGCAAGUAUAACAUGUAUUAGAACCGUUGGAUUGUAAUGGUGCAUGGAUCUUUUGGGGCACUUGAUUUUCCUCUUGAUAUGCCAG
Molecule: long non-coding RNA, 910 nt
Filed under: Trifolium pratense (red clover)
Lineage: Eukaryota; Viridiplantae; Streptophyta; Magnoliopsida; Fabales; Fabaceae
Description: long non-coding RNA (TPRA_LNC001412)
Source: RNAcentral